CCUGCUGACAUCACCUGACUGGCAGGAGGCAGGGUUCUGGGAUAUAUAAGCCCAGGCUGUAGCUAGCAGACACACAUGCUCUCUGACAACUGACAGGGAAGGAGCUAUUGCCUGCUGAAGCUACUUGAGACCUGGUGCUGCCUGCCUAGCUCUUCCAGUACUUCCUGCUCUGAUAUAUAGGUGCUAUAGGACUACAGGGAGUCUUCCAGUUGGAGAGUCUGGACUGAGGACAGGCACCUGCCCAAAGAAAGGGGAGCAGGGGCUCACCCCCAGAAGCCUUCAUAGUCAAAGCAGGACAGGCAAGAUCCCGAGCUGCAAAGACUGCAUCUGCCUUCACUGAUGAUGUCCGAGGGAAUCCCCUGCCGCGGGAGCCGCACUUGCCAGUAAUUAAGUUCCCUGCAGUGUGGUUUGAAGGUCCCGGUGAAGAGACCCGGGCGGGGAUAGCAGAUCAUAGAAGAGUCUGGGGUAACAACCCCAGACAAGAGAGCACCAGACCUGGAAGACCCUCGAGGCUGAGGAGGCCAAAGGCCAAGGACUCUUUCUUUUUUCUUUCCUUUUUUUUUUUAAAGGAGAAGAGGAAAUCAGAACAUUGGCUCCAAGCUGGUCCUUUCUACACUCCUGGAGUUGGGCCCCCCCCCGGGGUGCGGGGCAGCCCCUUUGAGUUGGGCAGGAGACAGGCGGUCACCACCUCUCUUUUUCAGAUCUCUUAUAUCAUUAAAGUUGUGGCAGGCAGGAAAAGAAGGGAUGUUGAAUCCCCUCCAGCUCGGCCAUAGGAGCAUAGCUGCCAUAGGGGCCAGUGAAUGUCAGCAGGAUGUUGGGGUGUACGCCCUUGCACGGUGACAGCCUGACACAUGUGUAGGGAAGGUUGGAGCAUGUAUGCACCAUCCAGUAUAGCUGGGCACAUGAAGGGCAGCCUCCCACUUAAUGAAUAACUUAAUAAUUUACUAACAAGGUGUGGCAGAAAAGAUAGGUGGGUGGACUGCCCAAGACAGGUGGGUAGGCUGAUACAGAGGUUGGCCUCAGGAUGGUCCCCUGUCACACCAUCUUUUCCUUGUUAAGAUACCCUUGACAUUAACUGAAACUAUUGUCAAUGCCAUUUAUGUUUAUUUUAAAAUGAGUGUACCUGUCACUUCUUAAGGUUCAUCUGUGCUUGUUUUGAGCUGUGUGCCUGUCCCUUUAAGGGGUCAUCUGUGCCACUGCUUGGGGUGGUUGAUUCUUCCCCUUCCCUCACUUGAAUUCCUGUAGCCUUUGCAAGCUGUCAGAUCACUUCCACAUUUAGGAAGGCUUGCAUAUUUCCACCUCUCUGCAGCUUCCUGCCUUCUGGUUUCCACUCUGGGUUGGAGCCCAGAGGUGUUAGUAACAGGAAACUGCUCUCCGAUUUUUUUUUUUUAUUUUUUUUUUU
This is a long non-coding RNA of Alligator mississippiensis (American alligator), 1402 nucleotides long. RefSeq lists it as uncharacterized. The record is from RefSeq and is a predicted model, not a curated record. Lineage: Eukaryota; Metazoa; Chordata; Crocodylia; Alligatoridae. The transcript has 2 exons.